GUGCUUACUUCGCCGGUAUAUAUACUAAAAUUGGAACGAUACAGAGAAGACUAACAUGGCCUCUGAGCAUAGAUGACAUGCGAAAUCAUGAAGCAUUCCAUAUUAUU
Molecule: small nuclear RNA, 107 nt
Filed under: Schistosoma margrebowiei
Lineage: Eukaryota; Metazoa; Platyhelminthes; Trematoda; Strigeidida; Schistosomatidae
Source: RNAcentral